GCCAGCCCGCUCAGAACUUAAAGGAAGUUGACGGGGCCCGCACAAGCGGUGGAGUAUGUGGUUUAAUUCGAUGCAACGCGAAGAACCUUACCUGGUCUUGACAUCCCGGAGACCCUUAGGAAACUAGGGGGUGCUUCCAUCUGGAAGAAUCUGGAGACAGGUGCUGCAUGGCUGUCGUCAGCUCGUGUCGUGAGAUGUUGGGUUAAGUCCCGCAACGAGCGCAACCCUUGCCUUUAGUUGCCAGCAGUUCGGCUGGGCACUCUAAAGGGACUGCCGGUGUUAAACCGGAGGAAGGUGGGGAUGACGUCAAGUCCUCAUGGCCUUUAUGACCAGGGCUACACACGUACUACAAUGGCCGAUACAAAGGGCAGCGACACUGCGAGGUGAAGCCAAUCCCGUAAAAUCGGUCUCAGUCCGGAUUGGAGUCUGCAACUCGACUCCAUGAAGUUGGAAUCGCUAGUAAUCGUGGAUCAGCAUGCCACGGUGAAUACGUUCCCGGGCCUU
Molecule: ribosomal RNA, 504 nt
Filed under: uncultured Desulfobulbus sp.
Lineage: Bacteria; Pseudomonadati; Thermodesulfobacteriota; Desulfobulbia; Desulfobulbales; Desulfobulbaceae
Description: bacterial SSU rRNA
Rfam family: Bacterial small subunit ribosomal RNA
Source: RNAcentral